This 875-nucleotide non-coding RNA is filed under the name Stegastes partitus (bicolor damselfish). RNAcentral's name for it is "partial small subunit ribosomal RNA". It matches the Rfam family "Bacterial small subunit ribosomal RNA". The record is from RNAcentral. Lineage: Eukaryota; Metazoa; Chordata; Actinopteri; Pomacentridae.
CAAGGCUUGGUCCUGACUUUACUGUCAGCUCUAGCUAAAUUUACACAUGCAAGUAUCCGCGCCCCUGUGAGGAUGCCCUACGAUCUCCCCUCCGGAACAAGGAGCUGGUAUCAGGCACAGAUUAUGCUAGCCCAUGACACCUUGCUAAGCCACACCCCCAAGGGAAUUCAGCAGUGAUAAACAUUAAGCUAUAAGUGAAAACUUGACUUAGUUAAAGCUAAGAGGGCCGGUAAAACUCGUGCCAGCCACCGCGGUUAUACGAGAGGCUCAAGUUGACAGACACGGCGUAAAGAGUGGUUAGGCAACCCCCCCCCCCCUCCCCCUACACACACAUAUAUAUACACACUAAAGUCGAACGCCCUCUGGGCUGUUAUACGCGCUAUGAAGGUAAGAAGCUCCACCACGAAAGUGACUUUAUUUUUCCUGACUCCACGAAAGUUGAGAUACAAACUGGGAUUAGAUACCCCACUAUGCUCAACCCUAAACUUUGAUAGUUCACUACAACCCCUAUCCGCCAGGGAAUUACGAGCACUAGCUUAAAACCCAAAGGACUUGGCGGUGCUUUAGACCCACCUAGAGGAGCCUGUCCUAGAACCGAUAAUCCACGUUGAACCUCACCCUUUCUUGCCUAUUCAGCCUAUAUACCGCCGUCGUCAGUUAACCCCGUGAUGGACUCAUAGUUAGCGAAAUUGGCACAGCCCAAAACGCCAGGUCGAGGUGUAGCGAAUGAAAGGGGAAGAGAUGGGCUACAUUUCCUGAACCCAGGACAUACGGAAGUUAUGCUGAAAAACCAUUUUUUGAAGGAGGAUUUAGCAGUAAGUAGAAAUCAGAAUGUUCUACUGAAGCUGGCUCUGAAGCGCGUACAUACCGCCCGU